RNAcentral lists this long non-coding RNA (1412 nucleotides) under Heterocephalus glaber (naked mole-rat). Its description in RNAcentral is "lncRNA (ENSHGLG00000047167.1)". The record is from RNAcentral. Lineage: Eukaryota; Metazoa; Chordata; Mammalia; Rodentia; Bathyergidae.
GUGAGGUGGCAGCAGGGCCUGAGCCCCGGCUGCUGUCACCCCUGUGCCCUCUGCCCUCAUGUGUCCCUCGCCCUGGCCCUGGAGUCGUGGCAGAGGGCCUGCCUUGGCCCAAGGCCCCAGGACAGGCGCAUGGCUUCCCAGCGUGCGUGUCAGCCCACCAUCGUGAGCUCUGGAGACGGCGUGGCCCUCAGCCCCGCCCUGCCUCCCUCGCCCCAGUGCCCAGAGAAUGGAAUAAUGGAAUCCGCCUCCUGGGAUUCUGAGGCCAGAGUGAAGACUUCCCGUGGGGCUGUUGGGGUGACCCGAGCUGUGCCGGCGACUGCAGGACAGCUCCUGGGUGUCCCGUCCUGCUCUCUCCCUCCCCACCUUGGCUCAGUUCCCAUGGAGGCCCCUCCUGCCACCCACUGCGCACCCUGGGGUCGCCUGUCCACCCCCAGAGAGUCACAGGCGGGGAGCUGGCCCCAGGAGUCCGGAGGGGGCUCCCUGCUGCUCCUUCUGUUCUGCGUAUCUAGCGAGGGGGCCUCGGUGUCCCUGCCCCUGCCAGCACGGCUGCUCCCUUCUCCACAGCAAGGAAGGGCAGGACAGGCUGCUGACUGAGGGGACAACACAGCCCACCAGUGAAAGCCAGCUGAGGGCUGUGGUCCUCUUCCUGUGCUGGGCCAACGUGUGUCUGUGUCCCCACCCACUGGCCACCGCCGGCACCUGGGGUCCCUCUGCACCCCAGGGUGAGCCCAGGCAUUGCCUUGGCAACGCAAAGUUUCCCAGUGAAGCAGAAAGUUCCACCAUGGUUUGUGAUGGGGCUGACACCAGGAGAAGGUUGCCAGGGCAACGGGAGUAUUUCCGUGGACCUCGGGUCUCGGUGUGGGGAGACUGUCUUGCAGGCAGGCUCACCGGGGGCCUUGCUGGGCUCCAUGAGGUCCUGAGGAGGGGCGCGCCCCAGCCCUUCUGGUCCCCAGGCCAGGAGCUGAGCUUGGGGCUCGCUGCUCUGGACCUCCUCUCCGGCCCUGUUCCCCGAGGAUGAGGUCAGGGCUCUGGCCGUCCUUUGUCAGCAGGCCCUCGGAGUAGGGGGGAACCUGAGGUGUGACCCCAGCCUCCCAUGGUGCACUGGCUUCUGGGGCCUCAGGUGCCACCCACACGCGUGGCCCCUGGCCACUUCUGCUGGGCCAGCCUUGAGGACAGCAGCCUGGACUCGGGUCAGGGCCGCACUCAGGGGCCUGGACCAAGCCCCGCAGCGAUCUGCUCUCCUGGUUCCCCAGGCUCAGCAACCUUCGUGUCUGCCCAGCCCAAGCGGCUCCCCUGUCCUUAAACUCAGUCAUCCCAGACGGUGCCGCAUGGCCAUACAGCCGCUUGGAGUUGCAUCGGCUCCACACGCGCCGUGCCUCUGUCCCUCCCCACUUUCUGCCCAAGUACAGGAC